Molecule: ribosomal RNA, 892 nt
Filed under: uncultured Bacillota bacterium
Lineage: Bacteria; Bacillati; Bacillota
Description: bacterial SSU rRNA
Rfam family: Bacterial small subunit ribosomal RNA
Source: RNAcentral
CUUUGAUUAUGGCUCAGGACGAACGCUGGCGGCGCGCCUAACACAUGCAAGUCGAACGAGAGAGGAAGAGCUUGCUCUUCUGAUCGAGUGGCGAACGGGUGAGUAACGCGUGAGGAUCCUGCCUCAAAGAGGGGGACAACAGUUGGAAACGACUGCUAAUACCGCAUAAGCCCACGGCUCGGCAUCGAGCAGAGGGAAAAGGAGCAAUCCGCUUUGAGAUGGCCUCGCGUCCGAUUAGCUAGUUGGUGAGGUAAUGGCCCACCAAGGCGACGAUCGGUAGCCGGACUGAGAGGUUGAACGGCCACAUUGGGACUGAGACACGGCCCAGACUCCUACGGGAGGCAGCAGUGGGGAAUAUUGCACAAUGGGGGAAACCCUGAUGCAGCGACGCCGCGUGGAGGAAGAAGGUCUUCGGAUUGUAAACUCCUGUUGUUGAGGAAGAUAAUGACGGUACUCAACAAGGAAGUGACGGCUAACUACGUGCCAGCAGCCGCGGUAAAACGUAGGUCACAAGCGUUGCCCGGAAUUACUGGGUGUAAAGGGAGCGCAGGCGGGCGAUCAAGUUGGAAGUGAAAUCCAUGGGCUCAACCCAUGAACUGCUUUCAAAACUGAUUGUCUUGAGUAGUGCAGAGGUAGGCGGAAUUCCCGGUGUAGCGGUGGAAUGCGUAGAUAUCGGGAGGAACACCAGUGGCGAAGGCGGCCUACUGGGCACCAACUGACGCUGAGGCUCGAAAGUGUGGGUAGCAAACAGGAUUAGAUACCCUGGUAGUCCACACCGUAAACGAUGAUUACUAGGUGUUGGAGGAUUGACCCCUUCAGUGCCGCAGUUAACACAAUAAGUAAUCCACCUGGGGAGUACGACCGCAAGGUUGCAACUCAAAUGAAUUGACGG